CCCUUAGAUGUUCUGGGCCGCACGCGCGCUACACUGAAGGAGGCAGCGUGUACUCCUGGAUCGAAAGAUUUGGGUAACCCGCGAAUCUCCUUCGUGCUAGGGAUUGAGGUUUGCAAUUAUCCUUCAUGAACGAGGAAUUCCCAGUAAGUGCAAGUCAUAAGCUUGCGCUGACUACGUCCCUGCCCUUUGUACACACCGCCCGUCGCUACUACCGAUUGAAUGAUUUAGUGAGGACUUCGGACUGGGACCGAUGCGGCUUUCGGGCUGCGUCGGUAUUCUGGAAAGAUGUCCAAACUGUAUCAUUUAGAGGAAGUAAAANUCGUANCA
This 327-nucleotide ribosomal RNA is filed under the name uncultured eukaryote. RNAcentral describes it as "partial 18S ribosomal RNA". It matches the Rfam family "Eukaryotic small subunit ribosomal RNA", at positions 1470 to 1796 of the family's 1831-position model. The record is from RNAcentral.